UUAGCAGACAGCUUCCAGUUUUCUUUGUAGGGGAUUUUGAUGGAUGGUAGACAGUCUAACAUUAAUCUGUUGUGUGUGUAGCAAACCCUCCCUUUGUCUUCUCUCCCCCUCAGUGGGGGAUUACAUCUCCCCAUCGGUUGUGCUGCAGUAACACAGACUGAACAUGCACCCCACGUCUUGUAAAGGACAGCCGCCCCUCCUACUCUAUUAUCAAGAACCAAACUCCCCCAGAGUCUCAAUUUAGCAGUUGCUUCUGUCUCCUACUGAAAACACACACUUCCUUUGUAACAAAACUAGGAUGGCAUUUCACGUCACCUACUGAGGAAGGAGACCCACCAGUAAAGAGAUGGUAGCUGGACCAGACCAAAAAUAUGGCGGUGAUAUCAUGGAACUGGUCUUUGGAAAAGUUUUCCCUGAACCAACUCCGUUUCUAGAUGAGGUAGAGAAGAUUAGCAUCCCACCAAUCUUCUGGUCUCAGUAAUCAGACGAUGGAGGUCUCCCACUGUUAUCCAGGACCAGUUUGAAGCCCACAUACAGCCCCUCCCUCAUCAUCAGGAAACAUCAAUCCGUAUCCUGAGGACAACAGAAGACGGCAGGAGGACAGGAACUCUGAGACCUAGAUACCACCAGCACUGGGACACAAAGCACCUGUGUGUACAACGCCUACUAAAGCCUAUUUAUUAUAUUGUUCUGCUUCUUUGCUGUGAGGUUAAUACUUAGAAAAGUUGUAUAUUAAUAUAAACAAUAAAAAAAAUCACUGAUAGUACGUUUCCUCUUAGAUGUAAUGUCAGCCUUGUAAACAUUUAUUGCAUCCUGUAGGUAAAUACACAGAACAGGCUCAGAUCCAUGAUGAUCCAGCAUGCUUCUUCAUUCUGGCUUUCAUCUAAUGUAUUUAUUUAGAAUGCAGGUAAGAUUUAACUAUAUUUGUUAGCAAAGCAGACUGAUCUUGGGAAUUUCUCCGCAGCACUGAUUUCUCAACCUCUGUGUACAUGUUAGAAUUAACACGGUUACAGCUAAACACACACUUAAUUAAGAUAUAGGCUAUGAAUUGCAGACAAUAAAAACGUAAAGAUGUAAGCAUUAGAAUGAUAAUAAUCACAUUAAAGAACAUUUGGAGAAAUGUACUUUAUUUGUGACUAGAAUCUCAAACCUUUAAAUCAAAAUGUAACUGCUUUUUAUCCAUUUUCAGCCAUUAAGACACCCAAUAUAAAAUAAGACUACUUAUAAAAUUAUUUAUAAUUAUAUGUAUGUAUAUAUAUAGAUAGAGAUCUUAAUAAAAUGUAUUCUUUUAAUGGUGUUUUAAUGAGCUGUAUCAUUUUUUAAAACAUUUUUUAUAGAAAUAAAUAAGCAAGCAGCAUUCCUUGUGUGUGUGUGUG
Molecule: long non-coding RNA, 1376 nt
Filed under: Nothobranchius furzeri (turquoise killifish)
Lineage: Eukaryota; Metazoa; Chordata; Actinopteri; Cyprinodontiformes; Nothobranchiidae
Description: lncRNA (ENSNFUG00015004372.1)
Source: RNAcentral